RNAcentral lists this ribosomal RNA (767 nucleotides) under uncultured bacterium. RNAcentral describes it as "bacterial SSU rRNA". It matches the Rfam family "Bacterial small subunit ribosomal RNA", at positions 8 to 807 of the family's 1533-position model. The record is from RNAcentral.
AGAGUUUGAUCCUGGCUCAGGACGAACGCUGGCGGCGUGCUUCAUACAUGCAAGUCGAACAGAAGCUGACUUCGGUCAGUGGAAAGUGGCGGACGGGUGAGUAAUAUGUAGAGAAUCUGCCUUGAGUGGGGGACAACAGAGGGAAACUCCUGCUAAUACCCCAUAUGAGCUAAGCUGAAAGCUUAUCUUGAAAACUCCGGUGCUCAAGGAUGAGUCUGCAUCUGAUUAGCUAGUUGGCGGGUAAUGGACCACCAAGGCGACGAUCAGUAGCUGGUUUGAGAGGAUGAUCAGCCACAAUGGACUGAGACACGGCCCAUACUCCUACGGGAGGCAGCAGUAGGGAAUUUUGCGCAAUGGGCGAAGCCUGACGCAGCAACGCCGCGUGAACGAGAAGCCCUUCGGGGUGUAAAGUUCUGUCAGAGGGACGAAUCUUGACGGUACCUACAGAGGAAGCACCGGCUAACUCCGUGCCAGCAGCCGGGUAAUACGGGGGGUGCAAGCGUUGUCCGGAAUCAUUGGGCGUAAAGAGUUCGUAGGUGGAUGUAAAGUCUGGUGUUAAAUGCAGAGGCUUAACUUCUGUUCGGCACUGGAUACUUGCAACUAGAAUGCGGUAGAGGUAAAGGGAAUUCCUGGUGUAGCGGUGAAAUGCGUAGAUAUCAGAGGAACAUCGGUGGCGUAAGCGCUUUACUGGGGCCGUAAUUGACACUGAGGAACGAAAGCGGGGUAGCAAAUGGGAUUAGAUACCCCAGUAGUCCCGGGCCGUAAAC